RNAcentral lists this ribosomal RNA (255 nucleotides) under uncultured bacterium. Its description in RNAcentral is "partial 16S ribosomal RNA". It matches the Rfam family "Bacterial small subunit ribosomal RNA", at positions 524 to 776 of the family's 1533-position model. The record is from RNAcentral.
UACAGAGGGUGCAAGCGUUGUUCGGAAUUAUUGGGCGUAAAGCGCGUGUAGGCGGCUUUGCAAGUCGGGGUGUGAAAGCCCUCAGCUUAACUGAGGAAGUGCGCCCGAAACUGCAGAGCUUGGGUACCGGAGAGGGUGGCGGAAUUCCCCAAGUAGAGGUGAAAUUCGUAGAUAUGGGGGAGGAACACCAGUGGCGAAGGCGACUUCCUGGCCUGUUCUUGACGCUGAGGCGCGAAAGCUAGGGGAGCAAACGGG